Molecule: long non-coding RNA, 2400 nt
Organism: Antechinus flavipes (yellow-footed antechinus)
Lineage: Eukaryota; Metazoa; Chordata; Mammalia; Dasyuromorphia; Dasyuridae
Exons: 3
Source: RefSeq, a predicted model, not a curated record
UGAGGACUCACCAAGUAAGGUUGUAAUCUUCCAUUGAAGGUUUUUUCUCUGUGUGUGUGCGUGGUUUUUUUUUUUUUUUUUCAUCCUAAGUAUGUUCAAGACCUUGUACAGCUGGAGAUUGGAAGAUUAAAGGCUGGUUCUUGGUUCUCAGGACAAUCUCUUACAAAUAGCCAAAGGGAAUGGUCUAAACUGGGCACCAUGACUAUGACUGCACCAGCCAGAGAAUGACCUGAGAAAUUUUUGAUUUCCUGGGUCAAACAGAACCAGAAGAGGCUGAGAUUGCAUUAAAAGACUGUCUUUUGAAGUAUUGGGUUUUAAGGGACGUCAUGCAAAGAGACCUAACUGAGUUUCAAUGGAUAAAUGAUGGACAGAAACAGCUACACCCAAAGAAGGAACACUGGGAAACGAAUGUGAACUAUUUGCAUUUUUGAUUUUCUUCCCGAGUUAUUUUUACCUUCUAAAUCCAAUUCUCCCUGUGCAACAGGAGAACUGUUCGGUUCUGCAAAUAUGUAUUGUAUCUAGGAUAUACUGCAACAUAUCUAACAUAUAUAGGACUGCUUGCCAUUUUGGGGAGGGGGUGGAGGGAGGGAGGGGAAAAAAUCGAAACAUAAGCGAGUGCAAGGGAUAAUGUUGUAAAAAAUUACCCUGGCAUGGAUUCUGUCAAUAUAAAGUUAUUGUUAAAUAAAAUAAAAUUUAAAUUAAAAAAAAAAAGGGACAUCAUGAAAAACAUAUUUCCAUAUUAACCAUGAUAACAAAAAAAGCAAGAAAAAUAAAGAAAGUGGGGGAAAAUAUACUUCAAUCUAUACUCAGAGUUUAUGAAUUAUCUCUCAGGAGGUGGAUAGAAUUUUUCAUCAUGAAUCCUUCAGAAUGAAUUAUUGUAUUAUUCAGAGAACCUAAGUCUUUCAUAGUUGAUCAUCAUUAUAAUAUUGCCCUUAGUGUUUUGGAUAUGUUCACUUUACUUUGCAUCAAUUCAUAUACAUUGUUAGAGUUCAAAUGUUGGAGUUUGUUCUUCUCAAAGCACAGCCGGUUUAGAGGCUUGGAGCCCUUCGGAUGUCUCCAAACCCAAAGGUUCUGUCCUUCAGCCUCUGACUCUGCUUUCUUCUGCCUCCAACCAAGACAGAGAUGGAAGGUCUCUCUUAUCUCCUUCUGGGGAGCCCAGCCACCAACUUGCCGCGGAGAGAGGGCUUCUGGCGUAGCUCCACUGAAAUCCGUCAAAGUGUUCUCUGCACAAGAGUCGUUCCUCUCGAGUCCAGCGCGAUCAGCCAGCCAAGACGAAAAAAUGUAUUCAGCCAUAGAUCCCUCAUGGCUGGCCUUUUAUAUGCCUCUUCUGAGAGAAUGGGAUUAUGGGUUUUCUCCCAUAGUGCUCUCUGGCCCAAUGAGCUUUAAGGGAGGUGUAGAAAGUGUACUUUGUGAAGCUAGCAUACUUGUGGACUCCAGUGAGUAAAGGUGUGAACACAAGCCUUGUCUUAAUUAGUUCUACUUAGUACCUUGUUUCAGGUUCUGGCCAAAACAACUUCUUGUAAGAUUAGAUCAACUCUAAUUACUUAGCAGUUAGUAAGGAUUCCAACAAUACAUCUUCCCAAGUUUUUCUGUAUCUAUUCCCUUCACCAUUUCUGAUGGCACAAUAGUAUUCCAACACAAUUAUAUAGCACAACUUGAUGGACAUUUCCUUAGUUUCCAAUUCUUUGCCACCACAAAGAAACCUUGCAAAUUAUUGUCAAUACUUACUCCCUUUGCAUCCAUUUGAACUUUAUAAUAAUUUGACUUCUUUAUAGUUUACUUGUUUAAACAGUGUGAUCUAUCUCACUAACUAGACUAUAAAUCCUAGAGAACAGCAACUGCAUCUUAAACUUUCUUAUUGACUUAAAGUUAUAUGACAGUGUGUUAAAAAAUCUUUUCAAUUUUUCUGGAAAUAAUAAGAUAUAUUUCUCUGAUCUAAAAGUUCUUUCUAGACUUGCCUUCUUCCUUUUAGAAAGGUAGAUAAGGUAAAGGCAAAAAACUUUUCUGGGGGGGAAGUAAACUAGGGGGUAGUCAACUUUAGAUACAAGUCUAUCUAGUCUUCUACUCUUCCCCAUUCAUUAAGUAAUGGAUCUAUAAAUUCAUCAAAGAGCAUUUUCCUCUUUUCCUGUAUUCCCUAAACCUUUCUUCUUACUAAUAGGCAUUCUUUCUUAUUUCAACAGAAUUUUGAUUUUGAUAUAAAGCUAGUUGGUCCCUUUGUUUAUUCCCAGUGAAGUUCUAGUGGAGAGUGGUCUAGAAAGGAAUCAGUACUGACUAUUGCUCUGGAAAGUUGUUCUAAAAUUGUAUUUGAAUUAGAACACAAGGUUUUGUAAGGGUGAAUGUUGAAAAUUAUCCACGUAUGUAUUUUGAAAAUAAAAAGUUUUAAUUAAAAAAAAAAAAAAA